AAAUUGCGAUAACUAAUGUGAAUUGCAUAUGCUUGUGAAUCAUCAAGUUUUCGAACGCAGCUUGCACUCUGGCCUUUAGGCUAGAGUAUACCUGUUUGAGCGUUUGUAAAGAACUUAAACACGCAAGUGUUUGAAUGGGCGCGACUACACACGGUAAUAGUGUGUGCGUCUGAAAUGGAGUCAAGUUGUAUGGUGAGUUAGCGUUAGUCUCACUUGUGCGGCCAACCACACCAUCAGCUCUACACCUCAAUUCUAAACCUCAAAUCAGGUAGGACUACCCGCUGAACUUAA
This 291-nucleotide unclassified non-coding RNA is filed under the name uncultured fungus. Its description in RNAcentral is "sequence contains ITS1". The stretch from base 1 to 105 matches the Rfam family "5.8S ribosomal RNA", at positions 50 to 154 of the family's 154-position model. The record is from RNAcentral. Lineage: Eukaryota; Fungi.